Camellia sinensis is the source of this 745-nucleotide non-coding RNA. Lineage: Eukaryota; Viridiplantae; Streptophyta; Magnoliopsida; Ericales; Theaceae. The record is from RefSeq and is a predicted model, not a curated record.
CGCUGUUCAAUUUGAGCUCUCUCUCUUACUUGUAAUAAACAUCUUGUGCUGUAUUAUUUUAGAAUCUUUCCAACAUAUACUGUUUAUUGCUUGAACUAAUUUCUUUAUGCCCAGGUUUCUUGGGAAUAAUAAAUUAACUGGUACCCUUCUUGCACAAAAGAGUUGCACAAAAGAGUACAUCUCUCCUGAAUAUGUCUAUGAUACAGCACAGAGUUAAUCCAUUUUGCCAUAAGUAUUCUUGACAGCAGCAUAUUUGUCACACAACCCUGCUACCACAUGCUAGAAAAUCAUGUAUUAAGCAAGACAAAGAUCCAAGAAUACAUGUAUGUGUAAAUGUAAAUGUAGAGAUGUAUACAAAAAAAGCCAACAUUAGGGAACACACUAGGGGAGGUAAAUAUUAAAUAUUUGGACAUACACUAGAUUUCUGUUUGCAUAUUGAUAUGCCUGUGAUAAUUUAUUUAUUUAUUUAUUUUUAAUUUUAUUUAUUUAUUUUUUCUGAGAGAUCUGGCAAAGCGGCAGAAACUAAAGUUGCCUAAGGGAUGCGGGUAUGAGUUCCAGAUGCAAUAUGGAUCAAUUGGCUGGGCUGUAGGUGCGACUCUUGGAUAUGCACAGGCUGCACAAAAUAAGCAAGUGAUUGCUUCCAUUGGUGACGGUAGCUUCCAGGUGACAGCACAAGAUGUAUCAACAAUGCUGAGAUGUGAACAGAGGACCAUCAUCUUCCUUAUAGAACCCAGGAAUUUUUGUU